AGGAAAGUGGGAGAGAGAGGAGGUGGUGGGGAAUCUGCUUUACACUAAGGAAAAGACAUUUGGGCAGAAACCUGAAGGUAGCAAGUCAGGGGGUCCUGAGAUCAACAUGUGCUUGACAUAUCUGAGAAACAUCAAGGAAACCAGUGUGACCAAGGUCUGUCUCUCGAGUCGCAUUCCUGCAGCAUGGACUGAUGCCUUACAGACGCUGGAGCACUGCUCUCAUACUGCUAUCUUUCCUUCCUUCGACAUAGUUUGGGAACUGCCUCAUCCUCAAUGCAGUGCAGGGGAUUGAAUCUUUACACUUGCCAGGCAAUUGCCCUACCACUGAGUUACUACGUGCUCUACUAUGCUGUACUGCUUCACUACAGGCCCAAAAGCAACAGGGCCAAUCAAUAAUGG
Long non-coding RNA from Heterocephalus glaber (naked mole-rat), 399 nucleotides. RefSeq lists it as uncharacterized. The record is from RefSeq and is a predicted model, not a curated record. Lineage: Eukaryota; Metazoa; Chordata; Mammalia; Rodentia; Bathyergidae.